GAUGAACGCUGGCGGCGUGCCUAAUACAUGCAAGUCGAGCGAAUGGAUUAAGAGCUUGCUCUUAUGAAGUUAGCGGCGGACGGGUGAGUAACACGUGGGUAACCUGCCCAUAAGACUGGGAUAACUCCGGGAAACCGGGGCUAAUACCGGAUAACAUUUUGAACCGCCUGGUCCGAAAUUGAAAGGCGGCUUCGGCUGUCACUUAUGGAUGGACCUGCGUCGCAUUAGCUAGUUGGUGAGGUAACGGCUCACCAAGGCAACGAUGCGUAGCCGACCUGAGAGGGUGAUCGGCCACACUGGGACUGAGACACGGCCCAGACUCCUACGGGAGGCAGCAGUAGGGAAUCUUCCGCAAUGGACGAAAGUCUGACGGAGCAACGCCGCGUGAGUGAUGAAGGCUUUCGGGUCGUAAAACUCUGUUGUUAGGGAAGAACAAGUGCUAGUUGAAUAAGCUGGCACCUUGACGGUACCUAACCAGAAAGCCACGGCUAACUACGUGCCAGCCGCCGCGGUAA
Molecule: ribosomal RNA, 515 nt
Filed under: uncultured bacterium
Lineage: Bacteria
Description: partial 16S ribosomal RNA
Rfam family: Bacterial small subunit ribosomal RNA
Source: RNAcentral